This 504-nucleotide ribosomal RNA is filed under the name uncultured bacterium. RNAcentral describes it as "partial 16S ribosomal RNA". It matches the Rfam family "Bacterial small subunit ribosomal RNA", at positions 30 to 523 of the family's 1533-position model. The record is from RNAcentral.
AUUGAACGCUGGCGGCAGGCCUAACACAUGCAAGUCGAGCGGUAGCACAGAGAGCUUGCUCUCGGGUGACGAGCGGCGGACGGGUGAGUAAUGUCUGGGAAACUGCCUGAUGGAGGGGGAUAACUACUGGAAACGGUAGCUAAUACCGCAUAACGUCGCAAGACCAAAGAGGGGGACCUUCGGGCCUCUUGCCAUCAGAUGUGCCCAGAUGGGAUUAGCUAGUAGGUGGGGGAAUGGCUCACCUAGGCGACGAUCCCUAGCUGGUCUGAGAGGAAGACCAGCCACAAUGGAACUGAGACACGGUCCAGACUACUACGGGAGGCAGCAGUGGGGAAUAUUGCACAAUGGGCGAAAGCCUGAUGCAGCCAUGCCGCGUGUGUGAAGAAGGCCUUCGGGUUGUAAAGCACUUUCAGCGAGGAGGAAGGCAUUAAGGUUAAUAACCUUAGUGAUUGACGUUACUCGCAGAAGAAGCACCGGCUAACUCCGUGCCAGCCGCCGCGGUAA